RNAcentral lists this ribosomal RNA (2666 nucleotides) under Escherichia coli. RNAcentral's name for it is "partial 23S ribosomal RNA". It matches the Rfam family "Bacterial large subunit ribosomal RNA", at positions 397 to 2925 of the family's 2925-position model. The record is from RNAcentral. Lineage: Bacteria; Pseudomonadati; Pseudomonadota; Gammaproteobacteria; Enterobacterales; Enterobacteriaceae.
CUGUGAGCUCGAUGAGUAGGGCGGGACACGUGGUAUCCUGUCUGAAUAUGGGGGGACCAUCCUCCAAGGCUAAAUACUCCUGACUGACCGAUAGUGAACCAGUACCGUGAGGGAAAGGCGAAAAGAACCCCGGCGAGGGGAGUGAAAAAGAACCUGAAACCGUGUACGUACAAGCAGUGGGAGCACAGAGCAAUCUGUGUGACUGCGUACCUUUUGUAUAAUGGGUCAGCGACUUAUAUUCUGUAGCAAGGUUAACCGAAUAGGGGAGCCGAAGGGAAACCGAGUCUUAACUGGGCGUUAAGUUGCAGGGUAUAGACCCGAAACCCGGUGAUCUAGCCAUGGGCAGGUUGAAGGUUGGGUAACACUAACUGGAGGACCGAACCGACUAAUGUUGAAAAAUUAGCGGAUGACUUGUGGCUGGGGGUGAAAGGCCAAUCAAACCGGGAGAUAGCUGGUUCUCCCCGAAAGCUAUUUAGGUAGCGCCUCGUGAAUUCAUCUCCGGGGGUAGAGCACUGUUUCGGCAAGGGGGUCAUCCCGACUUACCAACCCGAUGCAAACUGCGAAUACCGGAGAAUGUUAUCACGGGAGACACACGGCGGGUGCUAACGUCCGUCGUGAAGAGGGAAACAACCCAGACCGCCAGCUAAGGUCCCAAAGUCAUGGUUAAGUGGGAAACGAUGUGGGAAGGCCCAGACAGCCAGGAUGUUGGCUUAGAAGCAGCCAUCAUUUAAAGAAAGCGUAAUAGCUCACUGGUCGAGUCGGCCUGCGCGGAAGAUGUAACGGGGCUAAACCAUGCACCGAAGCUGCGGCAGCGACGCUUAUGCGUUGUUGGGUAGGGGAGCGUUCUGUAAGCCUGCGAAGGUGUGCUGUGAGGCAUGCUGGAGGUAUCAGAAGUGCGAAUGCUGACAUAAGUAACGAUAAAGCGGGUGAAAAGCCCGCUCGCCGGAAGACCAAGGGUUCCUGUCCAACGUUAAUCGGGGCAGGGUGAGUCGACCCCUAAGGCGAGGCCGAAAGGCGUAGUCGAUGGGAAACAGGUUAAUAUUCCUGUACUUGGUGUUACUGCGAAGGGGGGACGGAGAAGGCUAUGUUGGCCGGGCGACGGUUGUCCCGGUUUAAGCGUGUAGGCUGGUUUUCCAGGCAAAUCCGGAAAAUNNNNNNNNNNNNNNNNNNNNNNNNNNNNNNNNNNNNNNNNNNNNNNNNNNNNNNNNNNNNNNNNNNNNNNNNNNNNNNNNNNNNNNNNNNNNNAAAAUCAAGGCUGAGGCGUGAUGACGAGGCACUACGGUGCUGAAGCAACAAAUGCCCUGCUUCCAGGAAAAGCCUCUAAGCAUCAGGUAACAUCAAAUCGUACCCCAAACCGACACAGGUGGUCAGGUAGAGAAUACCAAGGCGCUUGAGAGAACUCGGGUGAAGGAACUAGGCAAAAUGGUGCCGUAACUUCGGGAGAAGGCACGCUGAUAUGUAGGUGAAGUCCCUCGCGGAUGGAGCUGAAAUCAGUCGAAGAUACCAGCUGGCUGCAACUGUUUAUUAAAAACACAGCACUGUGCAAACACGAAAGUGGACGUAUACGGUGUGACGCCUGCCCGGUGCCGGAAGGUUAAUUGAUGGGGUUAGCGCAAGCGAAGCUCUUGAUCGAAGCCCCGGUAAACGGCGGCCGUAACUAUAACGGUCCUAAGGUAGCGAAAUUCCUUGUCGGGUAAGUUCCGACCUGCACGAAUGGCGUAAUGAUGGCCAGGCUGUCUCCACCCGAGACUCAGUGAAAUUGAACUCGCUGUGAAGAUGCAGUGUACCCGCGGCAAGACGGAAAGACCCCGUGAACCUUUACUAUAGCUUGACACUGAACAUUGAGCCUUGAUGUGUAGGAUAGGUGGGAGGCUUUGAAGUGUGGACGCCAGUCUGCAUGGAGCCGACCUUGAAAUACCACCCUUUAAUGUUUGAUGUUCUAACGUUGACCCGUGAUCCGGGUUGCGGACAGUGUCUGGUGGGUAGUUUGACUGGGGCGGUCUCCUCCUAAAGAGUAACGGAGGAGCACGAAGGUUGGCUAAUCCUGGUCGGACAUCAGGAGGUUAGUGCAAUGGCAUAAGCCAGCUUGACUGCGAGCGUGACGGCGCGAGCAGGUGCGAAAGCAGGUCAUAGUGAUCCGGUGGUUCUGAAUGGAAGGGCCAUCGCUCAACGGAUAAAAGGUACUCCGGGGAUAACAGGCUGAUACCGCCCAAGAGUUCAUAUCGACGGCGGUGUUUGGCACCUCGAUGUCGGCUCAUCACAUCCUGGGGCUGAAGUAGGUCCCAAGGGUAUGGCUGUUCGCCAUUUAAAGUGGUACGCGAGCUGGGUUUAGAACGUCGUGAGACAGUUCGGUCCCUAUCUGCCGUGGGCGCUGGAGAACUGAGGGGGGCUGCUCCUAGUACGAGAGGACCGGAGUGGACGCAUCACUGGUGUUCGGGUUGUCAUGCCAAUGGCACUGCCCGGUAGCUAAAUGCGGAAGAGAUAAGUGCUGAAAGCAUCUAAGCACGAAACUUGCCCCGAGAUGAGUUCUCCCUGACUCCUUGAGAGUCCUGAAGGAACGUUGAAGACGACGACGUUGAUAGGCCGGGUGUGUAAGCGCAGCGAUGCGUUGAGCUAACCGGUACUAAUGAACCGUGAGGCUUAACCUUACAACGCCGAAGGUGUUU